RNAcentral lists this ribosomal RNA (314 nucleotides) under uncultured bacterium. RNAcentral's name for it is "bacterial SSU rRNA". It matches the Rfam family "Bacterial small subunit ribosomal RNA", at positions 32 to 324 of the family's 1533-position model. The record is from RNAcentral.
AAUCAACGCUGGCGGCGUGCCUCAGACAUGCAAGUCGAACGCUGCUGUUCGCCUUCGGGUGGACAGCGGAGUGGCGCACGGGUGAGUAACACGUAGGUAAUCUACCUUUGGGUGGGGAAUAACAGCCGGAAACGGCUGCUAAUACCGCAUAAUGCAGCGGCAUCACAUGAUGACAGUUGUUAAAGCGGGGGAUCGUAAGACCUCGCGCCUGAAGAGGAGCCUGCGGCAGAUUAGGUAGUUGGUGAGGUAAUGGCUCACCAAGCCUGCGAUCUGUAACCGGCCUGAGAGGGCGGUCGGUCACACUGACACUGACA